Pollicipes pollicipes is the source of this 691-nucleotide long non-coding RNA. RefSeq lists it as uncharacterized. NCBI's taxonomy places the organism in Eukaryota, Metazoa, Arthropoda, Thecostraca, Pollicipedomorpha, Pollicipedidae. The record is from RefSeq and is a predicted model, not a curated record. The transcript is spliced from 3 exons.
CGCAGCGGCCCUGUACCGGCCCGCACCGGAUCAGUGCUCGACGAUCAGCGUCGGCGGCAGCGUUCCGGCUCAUUCGCUGUAGGAGAGACUUCGAGAAAGGACAUCGGGAUAGCAGGACCGCCGCCACCACACCGCAACGAUGGGCAAGGGAGGACCAAAGAAGGGAGCCGCCGCGGCACCCGCCGCUCCGGCUACCAAGAGCGAAGCGAAGAAGGGUGAGAAGGCGCCCAAGGAGGCCAAAGGUGGAAAGAAAGGUGGCAAGAAGUGACGGCGGCGAGUCGUGAUGCCACGGCGUCCACAUCUGUUGGCUUCACUGGGCGACGCGCUCCUGGCUUCGCUGCCGAUCGUGGUCGAGACGCACCAUAAAGCGCCCGUGAGCUCGGUCCGAGCCGGUCGAAGACAGAGCUGUUCGCCCUAUUUCGUUGUGUUCAAGGCUGUGUGACAGUUUGCUGUUCCUCUAUCGUACCUGUCUGGCACAAGAGGCACUGCCGAGUGCCAGUUGGGCACGCGGGCGUCUAUCGUAGAACGAAGCAAACGCGAUGUACUGUGGUCACGCUCACAGUCGAACGGCCGUUGUGCGCUCGUCGCCGAGGCUACUGAGCUUGUGUGUAGUGCUUCUUACAGGCAAGAUGGCCUACCUUGAUUGUCCAGUGUUCAGUGUCACCAAAUAAAUGAGGAGUUGGUACUUGAA